Molecule: ribosomal RNA, 520 nt
Filed under: Muribaculaceae bacterium
Lineage: Bacteria; Pseudomonadati; Bacteroidota; Bacteroidia; Bacteroidales; Muribaculaceae
Description: bacterial SSU rRNA
Rfam family: Bacterial small subunit ribosomal RNA
Source: RNAcentral
AACAACGGAGAGUUUGAUCCUGGCUCAGGAUGAACGCUAGCGACAGGCCUAACACAUGCAAGUCGAGGGGCAUCGGGGGUGGAAGCUUGCUUCCGCCUGCCGGCGACCGGCGCACGGGUGAGUAACGCGUAUGCAACCUGCCCGGACCAGCGGGAUAACCCGGGGAAACCCGGCCUAAUACCGCACGGCGCCGCCAAGGGGCAUCCCUUGGCGGCUAAAGAACCAUCGGGUCCGGAUGGGCAUGCGUGGCAUUAGCUUGUUGGCGGGGUAACGGCCCACCAAGGCGACGAUGCCUAGGGGUUCUGAGAGGAAGGUCCCCCACACUGGUACUGAGACACGGACCAGACUCCUACGGGAGGCAGCAGUGAGGAAUAUUGGUCAAUGGGCGAGAGCCUGAACCAGCCAAGUCGCGUGAGGGACGACGGCCCUACGGGUUGUAAACCUCUUUUGCCGGGGGACAAACGGCGGCACGCGUGCCGUCCUGAGGGUACCCGGAGAAAAAGCAUCGGCUAACUCCGUG